This 140-nucleotide ribosomal RNA is filed under the name uncultured bacterium. RNAcentral describes it as "partial 16S rRNA". It matches the Rfam family "Bacterial small subunit ribosomal RNA", at positions 353 to 509 of the family's 1533-position model. The record is from RNAcentral.
AGUGGGGAAUAUUGCACAAUGGAGGGAACUCUGAUGCAGCGAUGCCGCGUGAGGGAAGAAGGUUUUCGGAGUUGUAAACCUCUGUCUUCGGGGACGAUAGUGACGGUACCCGAGGAGGAAGCUCCGGCUAACUACGUGCC